CCUACGGGGGGCUGCAGUGGGGAAUAUUGGACAAUGGGGGCAACCCUGAUCCAGCCAUGCCGCGUGUGUGAAGAAGGCCCUCGGGUUGUAAAGCACUUUCAGUGAGGAAGAACGCCUGGUGGUUAAUACCCAUCAGGAAAGACAUCACUCACAGAAGAAGCACCGGCUAACUCCGUGCCAGCAGCCGCGGUAAUACGGAGGGUGCGAGCGUUAAUUGGAAUUACUGGGCGUAAAGCGCGCGUAGGUGGCUUGAUAAGCCGGUUGUGAAAGCCCCGGGCUCAACCUGGGAACGGCAUCCGGAACUGUCAAGCUAGAGUGCAGGAGAGGAAGGUAGAAUUCCCGGUGUAGCGGUGAAAUGCGUAGAGAUCGGGAGGAAUACCAGUGGCGAAGGCGGCCUUCUGGACUGACACUGACACUGAGGUGCGAAAGCGUGGGUAGCAAACAGGAUUAGAUACCCCUGUAGUC
Molecule: ribosomal RNA, 465 nt
Filed under: Vreelandella stevensii
Lineage: Bacteria; Pseudomonadati; Pseudomonadota; Gammaproteobacteria; Oceanospirillales; Halomonadaceae
Description: partial 16S ribosomal RNA
Rfam family: Bacterial small subunit ribosomal RNA
Source: RNAcentral